This 1107-nucleotide long non-coding RNA is filed under the name Capra hircus (goat). Its description in RNAcentral is "lncRNA (ENSCHIG00010031195.1)". The record is from RNAcentral. Lineage: Eukaryota; Metazoa; Chordata; Mammalia; Artiodactyla; Bovidae.
AGGGGGCCGCGGGCUGCCGGCCCACCUUGCUGCUCCGCACGGCUCGGGUUUGGGCUGGGACUCAGGCUCCGAGGGGCGCGCGGGAGGAAGAGGAGGCGCCGCCCAGCCCCGCCCAGCCCCUCCCGCUGGCGGCCACGUGGGGAGCGGGCGCGGGCCGGGGGCGGAGUCUACUGGGGGGGCUCCUAGAGAGGCCCCGCCCACCGCUGCCCCCCGGGGCGGGGCGCCCAGGGACUCUCCCCAAGCCCGCAAAUACCCGCGCCACCUCCGCCAGGCUCGGUCUGUUCCCGGGCCUCCCAGUUUCUCUCCUGCCGGGCGGGGGUGGCGCUGGGGGUUGGGACACACGGAGCGGGGAGUGGGGGUCCCGGGAAAGCUCUGGAAGUGGAUCCCCCGGCCUCAGCCCUCUCUGUCCGCCCCUCUCCCUGGGCUCCGCUGCUCCGCCCCCUCCCACAAACCUCCUGCAGGUCCACCUCGCCCUGGCAGCGCGCCAGGUAACCGGCUCACCCACUGAGUCUUCCUGUCAAAGCCUGGCGGCAAGUGGACCAGCCUCCCUGGCCGCGCUCGCUGAACCCCGCGUGGGAGCCCCCUAGGGCCAGAUGACCCCGCGAGCUGACGCCUGGGGUCCCCUCAUGGGGCUUGGUCUUCUGGAAUGCAGAGCGUCCCCAUCAGGGGGGCAGCCUGGGACCUGGUCCCUGGUCCCCAGCAGACAUGCGGUCUGAGUGGUCUCUGGGCCUGGACGCUGCUGGCUGCAAGCAGCAGGCCUGAAUGCCUCCCCCUCUUUCUGUCCUGCCUCAUCACUCCUACAGACUAGGCGGGGGGGGGGGGGGGGGGGGGGGGGGNNNNNNNNNNNNNNNNNNNNNNNNNNNNNNNNNNGCCCUAAUGGCCCAGCAGGAGGCCAGCCCAUGGGGGAGGGGCAGGCGUGCCUUCAGCCCCAGGCCUGGUGGGGGAGACACCACCCUCCGCAGGGUCCUGCGCUGGCAGGGCCUGACCUGGAUUGCUGAGCUUUAGUUUCCCCAUCUGUUAAAGAGAUGGACAGUUCAGCCGAAAGGUUACUGGGUGAUGUGAGCACAGUGGGUGAAGCGCCUGCACUGGCGGCUUUGGCUUAUCAAA